ACCACGAGGUGACGAAACUAGUUGAUCCAUUCUUAUCUGACCUUGAUAAUUUCGCGCAUUUCUACGACAGUUUUUUGAGUUCGAUAUACAUAUAAUGCAAGUAACUAGACAUUGUCUUUUCGUCGAGUAGAAAAUGACCAUGUUGACAGUAGAAUGUUACACAAAGAAACCAGACCGUAAUAUUUAAUGUCAGUGAAUCGGGAAUAAAGUGUAGGUGAAUGAAUAUAAUUGGUGUAGGUUAUACAGGAUGUAAAAAGAAAUAGAGCAGAUGGCGAUCGUUCUCGAGGCACAAAUUCAAGAUCCCUCGAAAGCGUUGGCAUGUCCAGUCCAGUCUUUUUGGAUCUCUAGUCACUGAUUCAUUUUAAUUCACGACACCGAAAAAUUAAUUCUUUUUAUGAGUUCAAAAAUAUUAUAAAGGAUUAUCAAUAUGACUUCAGCAAAGAUCGAAUUUGCAGUUAACAUGACUUGUGAAAAAUGCGUUGAUACUGUUCGUAAUAGUUUAAAGGAUGUAAAAGGAAUUAAAAAUAUUGAUAUAUCGUUAGAAAAAGGAAAUAUUGUAGUUGAGACUGACUUACCGUAUUCUGUAAUUCAAAAAAAAAUUGAACAAUCUGGAAAGAAGGCUGUUUUAAAGGGAUAUGGAGAUAAUUCGGGUGCUGUUGCAAUGUUAGGAGGAAAUUCAGGUUAUAGCAUAGGAAACAAGAUAAUGGGAGUAGUAAGGUUUGCUCAAACACCUGAUGGAUGCAUUAUAGAUGGAACAGUUGAUGGCUUAACACCUGGUGAACAUGGAAUACAUGUACACGAAUGUGGUGAUAUCUCCAGUGGUUGUGAUAAUGUCGGAGAACACUUUAAUCCAAACAGUACAGUGCAUGGAGGACCUGAGGAUAAUGAACUUAAUAGACAUGUUGGAGAUCUUGGAAAUAUAGCAGUAGAUGAAUCAGGUAGAGCUACUUUUAGAAAAGUAGACAAGCUCAUAAAAAUAUCUGAUAUUAUUGGAAGAUCUCUAGUUAUAACAGAAAAAGCAGAUGAUUUGGGUAGAAGUGAUAGUCCAACGUCUAAGAUAGAUGGAAACAGUGGAAAUAGACUGGCUUGCGGUAUUAUUGCUCGUUCGUCUGGUUUGUUUCAAAAUACGAAAAAAAUUUGUGCUUGCGACGGACUUACGCUAUGGGAUGAAAGAGAUAAAGCACUCUCACAGAAACAGGAAUUGUCCACCAAAUCUGAAAUAAGUAAUGCCUGUACAGUAUGCUAAUUCUUUUAUCAAUUAUACAUAUAAGAGUGUAGUUAAAUUCAUAGAACUUCAGCAUUUAUGUUUUACAUCAUAUCUUUAAAUCAAAAUUAUAAACACCAUCUGGGGAUACCUAAAACAAGUUUCAUGAAAUGAAACACGCAAGUCAUUCCAAUAAAAUACUGUAUAUAUGAUACAAAAUAUCUAUGUAAUGUAGAAAGGUUUUAUAUUUUCGUAAUGUAUAUAUAAGUAUUUAUGAGCGAUAUUCAUAUAUGUUGUAUAUUUUGUAUAAUAUAUGACACGCGUAAGGGUAUUAAAGAGCACCGAAAUUUUAUUUUCUUUAUUACAUAAAAUAAUAAAUCAAUGUUUUUAAUUCUAAUUCCUUUCACCAAGAGCAGUGGUGAUUACAGGCACGAUUAUCAUACUGACUGUGCUCAGUAUGUACAAAGUUAUGUAUUCAUAUUUGCUAUAAUUAUUUUGACGCGUAGUAAAUACAAAAGCUUCCUAAAAUAUUAAUAACUGCGAUAUGUAAAAAUAACAUUUAUUACAAAAGAUACAUGCGAUACAAAUUCUCUUUAUAUAAAUACAAAGUUCGAUUUAUAAAUCCUACGUUAUAGAGGGCGCAAGGUUACCAAAAUAACAGUCCAAAGCGUGAAAUUUAAAUUUUAUCACCAUUGAUUCUAUAUGAUACAAAUUAAACUUAUAUAUAAUCUUCCAUUUUAUUUAAUAAUCUUUACUUCAUUAAUACUAAAUAUAAUUUUCAAAUUAUAAAUUGGCAUUAAAUGUAAUUGUACUGUGUAGCAUUUUAAUAAUAAUGAUAGAAAAUGUAAUGUUACGAAAUUUAGCGGAGACAACAAAUGCGUCAUCGACCGAAGAUUAACAUAUUUAUUUUACUUCUGAUUUCCUAAUCAUUAAAUUUUGAAAUCGAUCGAGAAGCCAUUGUACCGUGAAUACAUAAGUAUUCAUUGUAAUCAAAUUUACGGAAUAAUAGGAGACCUAAAUGUACGUAGAUAUCAUCGAGCUAUUUCAGCAUAUAUGUAUGUUGUACAGAUUUAGAUUAGAAUGAAAUAAACUUAGAUAAGUCA
Osmia lignaria (orchard mason bee) is the source of this 2307-nucleotide RNA transcript. It is a transcript of the gene named copper chaperone for superoxide dismutase, with no coding region annotated. The record is from RefSeq and is a predicted model, not a curated record. NCBI's taxonomy places the organism in Eukaryota, Metazoa, Arthropoda, Insecta, Hymenoptera, Megachilidae.